UAUUGAUUGGUGCUUGCAUCAUGAUUUACAUUUGAGUGAGUGGCGAACUGGUGAGUAACACGUGGGAAACCUGCCCAGAAGCGGGGGAUAACACCUGGAAACAGAUGCUAAUACCGCAUAACAACUUGGACCGCAUGGUCCGAGUUUGAAAGAUGGCUUCGGCUAUCACUUUUGGAUGGUCCCGCGGCGUAUUAGCUAGAUGGUGGGGUAACGGCUCACCAUGGCAAUGAUACGUAGCCGACCUGAGAGGGUAAUCGGCCACAUUGGGACUGAGACACGGCCCAAACUCCUACGGGAGGCAGCAGUAGGGAAUCUUCCACAAUGGACGAAAGUCUGAUGGAGCAACGCCGCGUGAGUGAAGAAGGGUUUCGGCUCGUAAAACUCUGUUGUUAAAGAAGAACAUAUCUGAGAGUAACUGUUCAGGUAUUGACGGUAUUUAACCAGAAAGCCACGGCUAACUACGUGCCAGCAGCCGCGGUAAUACGUAGGUGGCAAGCGUUGUCCGGAUUUAUUGGGCGUAAAGCGAGCGCAGGCGGUUUUUUAAGUCUGAUGUGAAAGCC
RNAcentral lists this ribosomal RNA (560 nucleotides) under Lactiplantibacillus plantarum. RNAcentral describes it as "bacterial SSU rRNA". It matches the Rfam family "Bacterial small subunit ribosomal RNA", at positions 68 to 602 of the family's 1533-position model. Lineage: Bacteria; Bacillati; Bacillota; Bacilli; Lactobacillales; Lactobacillaceae. The record is from RNAcentral.